GUUGGCCGAUGGCUGAUUAGCUAGUUGGUGGGGUAAAGGCCUACCAAGGCGACGAUCAGUAGCUGGUCUGAGAGGACGACCAGCCACACUGGGACUGAGACACGGCCCAGACUCCUACGGGAGGCAGCAGUGGGGAAUUUUGGACAAUGGGCGAAAGCCUGAUCCAGCAAUNCCGCGUGUGUGAAGAAGGCCUUCGGGUUGUAAAGCACUUUUGUCCGGAAAGAAAUCCCUGGCUCUAAUACAGUCGGGGGAUGACGGUACCGGAAGAAUAAGCACCGGCUAACUACGUGCCAGCAGCCGCGGUAAUACGUAGGGUGCGAGCGUUAAUCGGAAUUACUGGGCGUAAAGCGUGCGCAGGCGGUCUGUUAAGACAGAUGUGAAAUCCCCGGGCUCAACCUGGGAACUGC
RNAcentral lists this ribosomal RNA (407 nucleotides) under uncultured bacterium. RNAcentral describes it as "bacterial SSU rRNA". It matches the Rfam family "Bacterial small subunit ribosomal RNA", at positions 225 to 624 of the family's 1533-position model. The record is from RNAcentral.